Molecule: ribosomal RNA, 301 nt
Filed under: uncultured bacterium
Lineage: Bacteria
Description: partial 16S ribosomal RNA
Rfam family: Bacterial small subunit ribosomal RNA
Source: RNAcentral
CAGUAGCCGCGGUAAUACGAAGGGGGCUAGCGUUGUUCGGAUUUACUGGGCGUAAAGCGCACGUAGGCGGAUUCUUAAGUCAGAGGUGAAAUCCCAAGGCUCAACCUUGGAACUGCCUUUGAUACUGGGGAUCUCGAGUCCGGGAGAGGUGAGUGGAACUGCGAGUGUAGAGGUGAAAUUCGUAGAUAUUCGCAAGAACACCAGUGGCGAAGGCGGCUCACUGGCCCGGUACUGACGCUGAGGUGCGAAAGCGUGGGGAGCAAACAGGAUUAGAUACCCCGGUAGUCCCUGUCUCUUAUAC